UACGGGGGGGGCAAGCGUUGUUCGGAAUUACUGGGCGUAAAGGGCUCGUAGGCGGCCAACUAAGUCGGAUGUGAAAUCCCCAGGCUUAACCUGGGAACUGCAUCCGAUACUGGAUGGCUUGAAUCCGGGAGAGGGAUGCGGAAUUCCACGUGUAGCGGUGAAAUGCGUAGAGAUGUGGAGGAACACCGAUGGCGAAGGCAGCCUUCUGGGCCAACACUGACGCUCAUGCACGAAAGCGUGGGGAGCAAACAGG
This 253-nucleotide ribosomal RNA is filed under the name uncultured bacterium. RNAcentral describes it as "partial 16S ribosomal RNA". It matches the Rfam family "Bacterial small subunit ribosomal RNA", at positions 524 to 776 of the family's 1533-position model. The record is from RNAcentral.